Molecule: long non-coding RNA, 2235 nt
Filed under: Jatropha curcas
Lineage: Eukaryota; Viridiplantae; Streptophyta; Magnoliopsida; Malpighiales; Euphorbiaceae
Description: long non-coding RNA (JCUR_LNC001872)
Source: RNAcentral
GAAGGAUUGAAACAGCAAUUAGAAGAAUUGCAGAAACAGCUGGGAAAGAAACAGAAGUUCGAAGAUGCUGUAUCUUCUAUCAAAUCCCUUUUCCUAAAGUUCUACCCUUCUGCUUCCACCUCUCUUCGCAAAACAGUAAGCCUCUUUCUUCUCCUUCAAGUUGAGAUCGAUUUCGUUUCUAAAUUUUAAAUCAUUUUAGAAUUCCGGUGUUGAAUUGCAGUUCUAUACUGUUAUUUGUCGAGUAGCGACGAUUUUAAAAACGAGAUACACAGCGCCUGGUUUCUGGCACGCCGGAUUAGGGCUAUUUGAGCAAGCAGAAGUCUUGGUUUCUGAUUCAUCUGAAAAGGAGCAUUUGAAGAAUUGUAUUGCCCAAGCCAAAGAACAAUUGAAUCUGGCCCAAAAUCCUCCUGACGUUUCCUCGAGUUCCUCUCGUGGAGGUUGAAUUUCUGUAAAAAAUGCAUCUUUUUUAUUGGAAAGUUUAUGAAUUUUACAAUUUUUUUUCCUGAUUUUGUUAUUGUGCAUAUAAUAUUCAAUUAUAGGGUAUCUUUUUGAGGGUCACCUUACCGUGGAUCCUGAGCCACCAGAGCCUCUGUGGCUGUUGCAGUCAAACUUAAUGCGAGCAGCCUCUAUUUUGGAGGCUGAAUCCGCUGGAGGUCCAUCCGACCAUAAUAACACGACGAGAAAUGCUUCCGCUAUGCUAGAAGAGCUCAUAAGCAACCUUGAUGACAUUAUACCUGAGGUAGAAUUCAGCUCCUCAAGUUUGUCCUUUUGAAUUAAACCUUAUGGUUUUAAUUUUUUCCCCGAGGAAAUAAUAGGAAUUAACUUAAUUAUGUAAUUAAUUUAACUGUUUAGUUUGAAACUUUUAGCAGUGUUCGAUGUUUUCACGUUCUGUUUUUAAAUCUUAAUGGUGUUUGGAGUUUACAUUCAGAUGGAUUCGUCCUUUGAAUCCAUAUUUUUAUCUGAUUUAAUUUAAUGAUGUGUGGUUAAUGGAACUGAUGUUUUGUUCAAGGAAUUAACAUUGGGCUCAUUUUAAUAUUUCUGUCUUUAAGAUUAUGGUUCCAGACAAUGAAUCUAGAGUUCCAAAAGCGCCUCCCGCCAGUAAAGAGGUUGUUGCAAAGCUUCCAGUCAUUACUCUCACGGAGGAAAUCUUGGCCAGGCUUGGACAAGAUGCAGAGUGUGCAAUUUGUAAGGAGAAUUUGGUGGUUAAUGAUAAGAUGCAAGAGUUGCCUUGCAAGCACACAUUCCAUCCUCCUUGUCUAAAGCCAUGGCUGGUAAGCUUCUUGAUUGUGUUAACAUUUGCUUUUCAGUACUGUCAAAUACUUGAGCUGCAUAUGACAAAUACUAUCAAACAAUGCAUGUUUCUGAUUGGAAGCAACCUUUGCACAGGAUGAGCAUAAUUCUUGUCCAAUUUGCCGGCAUGUUUAAAUAUUUAAUUUAUCUAAUUUUAUAAAUUAUAAAAUUAUAUUGAUCGAAAAUUUUUAAAGUAAAAAUAUCUAAUAAAUAUAAUUUUAUAAAUUUAAAUAUUCAAUAAAUAUCAUAAUAAUAAGGUAUACUAGAAAUAUAAUUUUUCAAUUUUUUAUCAUUAAUAAUUUAUUAAUAAUUAUCUUUUAAUUCAUCGAUAGAUUUAAAUAGUUGAAAUAUUAUUAUAAUUACAUAAUAAAAAUAAAAUCUCUUCCGCUUGAAGAGAAUUUGAAUCCAAUCCACUUUUCUCCUGUUAAAUAUUUUGUUUUUUAGCCCAUUAAAAUUUUUCAUUAUAAAAAAAUCAUUUUUAUUGGAUGAAUUUGUUUUUUUUAAUUUUCAGAAUGAAAAUUUGACAAUUCUAGAAUCCUUUCCGCGUUAGAAAUAUAAUAACAGACCAAACCAUUACUCAAACAGGCCCUGGUUUCCCCUUCGCUAAGAAAAAGAAUAUCAUAAAUUCAGAACAGAAAUUCAACACAGCAAAAAUUGAAGCUUUUGUAAGUUCCAGAUUUUGAAUUGCGAGAAAACAAAAAUGGCAUCAUCUGAGGAAGGAUUGAAACAGCAAUUAGAAGAAUUGCAGAAACAGCUGGGAAAGAAACAGAAGUUCGAAGAUGCUGUAUCUUCUAUCAAAUCCCUUUUCCUAAAGUUCUACCCUUCUGCUUCCACCUCUCUUCGCAAAACAGUAAGCCUCUUUCUUCUCCUUCAAGUUGAGAUCGAUUUCGUUUCUAAAUUUUAAAUCAUUUUAGAAUUCCGGUGUUGAAUUGCAGUUCUAUACUG